RNAcentral lists this ribosomal RNA (469 nucleotides) under uncultured bacterium. Its description in RNAcentral is "bacterial SSU rRNA". It matches the Rfam family "Bacterial small subunit ribosomal RNA", at positions 28 to 507 of the family's 1533-position model. The record is from RNAcentral.
GAUGAACGCUGGCGGCGUGCUUAACACAUGCAAGUCGAACGGAGUUAUUUGGAAGCUUGCUUUUGAAUAACUUAGUGGCGGACGGGUGAGUAACGCGUGGGUGACCUGCCUUAUACUGGGGGAUAACACUUAGAAAUAGGUGCUAAUACCGCAUAAGCGCACAGUUCUGCAUGGAACAGUGUGAAAAACUCCGGUGGUAUAAGAUGGACCCGCGUCUGAUUAGCUAGUUGGUGAGGUAACGGCUCACCAAGGCGACGAUCAGUAGCCGGCCUGAGAGGGUGAACGGCCACAUUGGGACUGAGACACGGCCCAAACUCCUACGGGAGGCAGCAGUGGGGAAUAUUGCACAAUGGGGGGAAACCCUGAUGCAGCGACGCCGCGUGAGUGAAGAAGUAUUUCGGUAUGUAAAGCUCUAUCAGCAGGGAANAAAAUGACGGUACCUGACUAAGAAGCCCCGGCUAACUACGUG